RNAcentral lists this transfer RNA (73 nucleotides) under Dreissena polymorpha. It matches the Rfam family "tRNA". From Rfam's summary of the family: Transfer RNA (tRNA) molecules are approximately 80 nucleotides in length. Their secondary structure includes four short double-helical elements and three loops (D, anti-codon, and T loops). Lineage: Eukaryota; Metazoa; Mollusca; Bivalvia; Myida; Dreissenidae. The record is from Rfam by way of RNAcentral.
GGGGAAUUAGCUCAAGUGGUAGAGCGGUCGCUUAGCAUGUGAGAGGUACAGGGAUCGAUACAUUGAUUCUCCA